This 465-nucleotide ribosomal RNA is filed under the name uncultured bacterium. RNAcentral describes it as "partial 16S ribosomal RNA". It matches the Rfam family "Bacterial small subunit ribosomal RNA", at positions 29 to 507 of the family's 1533-position model. The record is from RNAcentral.
AAUGAACGUUGGCGGCGUGGCUUAGGCAUGCAAGUCGAGCGAGAACCCCGCAAGGGGGGACAGCGGCGAAAGGGACAGUAAUGUGUAGAUUAUCUGCCCUCAGGUCCGGGAUAGCUGCGGGAAACUGCAGGUAAUACCGGAUAACAUCUCCGGAUCAAAGGUGUGAUUCCGCCUGAGGAUGAGUCUGCAUCCUAUUAGCUAGUUGGUGGGGUAAUGGCCUACCAAGGCAUUGAUGGGUAGCAGGUGUGAGAGCACGACCUGCGUCAUUGGGACUGAGACACUGCCCAGACACCUACGGGUGGCUGCAGUCGAGAAUCUUCGGCAAUGGGCGCAAGCCUGACCGAGCGACGCCGCGUGUGGGAUGAAGGCCUUCGGGUUGUAAACCACUGUCAGAGGGGAUGAAAUGCAGGUGGGUUCUCCCAUCUGUUUGACAUAGCCUCAGAGGAAGGACGGGCUAAGUUCGUG